This 275-nucleotide ribosomal RNA is filed under the name uncultured bacterium. Its description in RNAcentral is "partial 16S ribosomal RNA". It matches the Rfam family "Bacterial small subunit ribosomal RNA", at positions 338 to 610 of the family's 1533-position model. The record is from RNAcentral.
CCUACGGGGGGCUGCAGUAAGGAAUAUUGGUCAAUGGACGCAAGUCUGAACCAGCCAUGCCGCGUGGAGGAUGAAGGCGCUCUGCGUUGUAAACUUCUUUUAUGUAGGAAGAAAGGCAGUCAUUCCUGAUUGUUUGACGGUACUACAGGAAUAAGCACCGGCUAACUCCGUGCCAGCAGCCGCGGUAAUACGGAGGGUGCAAGCGUUAUCCGGAUUCACUGGGUUUAAAGGGUGCGUAGGCGGGUUUGUAAGUCAGUGGUGAAAGCCUGGAGCUU